RNAcentral lists this ribosomal RNA (441 nucleotides) under uncultured bacterium. RNAcentral's name for it is "partial 16S ribosomal RNA". It matches the Rfam family "Bacterial small subunit ribosomal RNA", at positions 338 to 795 of the family's 1533-position model. The record is from RNAcentral.
CCUACGGGCGGCAGCAGUGGGGAAUAUUGCACAAUGGGGGAAACCCUGAUGCAGCGACGCCGCGUGAGUGAAGAAGUAUUUCGGUAUGUAAAGCUCUAUCAGCAGGGAAGAAAAAAGACGGUACCUGAUUAAGAAGCCCCGGCUAACUACGUGCCAGCAGCCGCGGUAAGACGUAGGGGGCAAGCGUUAUCCGGAUUUACUGGGUGUAAAGGGAGGGUAGACGGAGAAGCAAGUCUGAAGUGAAAGCCCGUGGCUUAACCACGGGACUGCUUUGGAAACUGUUUGACUAGAGUGCUGGAGAGGUAAGUGGAAUUCCUAGUGUAGCGGUGAAAUGCGUAGAGAUUAGGAAGAACACCAGGGGCGAAGGCGGCUUACUGGACAGUAACUGACGUUGAGGCUCGAAAGCGUGGGGAGCAAACAGGAUUAGAUACCCCAGUAGUC